UAACGCGAAGAACCUUACCAAGGCUUGACAUACACCGGAAACGGCCAGAGAUGGUCGCCCCCUUGUGGUCGGUGUACAGGUGGUGCAUGGUUGUCGUCAGCUCGUGUCGUGAGAUGUUGGGUUAAGUCCCGCAACGAGCGCAACCCUCGUUCUAUGUUGCCAGCGCGUUAUGGCGGGGACUCAUAGGAGACUGCCGGGGUCAAACCGGAGGAAGGUGGGGAUGACGUCAAAUCAUCACGCCCCUUAUGUCUUGGGCUUCACGCAUGCUACAAUGGCCGGUACAAAGGGCUGCGAUACCGUAAGGUGGAGCGAAUCCCAAAAAGCCGGUCUCAGUUCGGAUUGAGGUCUGCAACUCGACCUCAUGAAGUCGGAGUCGCUAGUAAUCGCAGAUCAGCA
This 396-nucleotide ribosomal RNA is filed under the name uncultured bacterium. RNAcentral's name for it is "bacterial SSU rRNA". It matches the Rfam family "Bacterial small subunit ribosomal RNA", at positions 957 to 1354 of the family's 1533-position model. The record is from RNAcentral.